Molecule: transfer RNA, 70 nt
Filed under: Marmota marmota marmota (Alpine marmot)
Lineage: Eukaryota; Metazoa; Chordata; Mammalia; Rodentia; Sciuridae
Also listed under: 1 other name
Rfam family: tRNA
About the family: Transfer RNA (tRNA) molecules are approximately 80 nucleotides in length.
Source: Rfam by way of RNAcentral
GGAGGUGUAGCUCAAUGGUACAGAGCCUGCCUAGAAUACGAGGCACUGGGUUUGAUCCCCAGCACCAUCA